Molecule: ribosomal RNA, 1314 nt
Filed under: uncultured kinetoplastid
Lineage: Eukaryota; Euglenozoa; Kinetoplastea
Description: bacterial SSU rRNA
Rfam family: Eukaryotic small subunit ribosomal RNA
Source: RNAcentral
AUCUGGUUGAUCCUGCCAGUAGUCAUAUGCUUGUUUCAAGGAUUAAGCCAUGCAAGCCUAAGAGUAACUGGUUUAAGGAGGUCUGCGAACGGCUCAUUAAAUCAGCGAUUAUCUACCGGGAGAAUCGCAGUUAACACUGCUGUCAUGGAUAACUUCGCGAAACGCGAAGCUAAUACAUGUACAUAACGUGGUACUUGUCAUCAAACUGCUUUGGGGAAACCUUUAGCAGGGCAAGUGCCUCGCGGAUGGUUGGUACAAAAACCAACGCCAGCAAUGGCAGUGUCCAAAAGCGAUGAAAUCAAACCAUUCAGCAAAAGCGAGUUUCGGCUCGCGAAUCCCGAAGAAUCUCUGCCCUAUCAGCUUUUGACGGUAGUGUAGUGGACUACCGUGGCUAUAACGGGUACGGGGAAUUAGGGUUCGAUUCCGGAGAGGGAGCCUGAGAGAUAGCUACCACUUCUACGGAGGGCAGCAGGCGCGUAAAUUGCCCAAUGCCAAAUUGGCGAGGCAGCGAAGAGAAAUAGCGACCCUGCCUCUUUGAGUGUGGGGUUUGCAAUGGGUGGUAUUUAAACCCACCAACGAGUAACAAUUGGAGGACAAGUCUGGUGCCAGCACCCGCGGUAAUUCCAGCUCCAAUAGCGUAUAUUAACGCUGCUGCUGUUAAAGGGUUCGUAGUUGAAUGCGGAGUAAAGGGAUACUCGUUCGCGAGACCUCCCUGCUCUGUUUAGACGGGACUGGAUGCCAUGCGGAAGACACUAUUAAGUUAGUGUUGGAAGCAGCCUACCGAAGAGGUAAGCCAAUACGCCAUGCAACGCAUGCACUUGGCCGCCCGUCGUUAUUACUGUGAAUAAAACAGCGUGUUCAAGGCAGCCUUCGGCUGAAUGACAAAGCAUGGAAUAACAGGGGAUCGACCGGUGGGUUAAUCUUUUGUUGGUUUUUAAGAUCCAUUUGGAUAAUUUGUGGGCAAAGUGAUUCAUGCAUUCAACUGGGUUCGCCUUGUUUGCACUGGACUUUACGAACCGGGAUUAAUGGGGGUUGUCGGGGAAAACGUAUCGGAGCGUGAGAGGUGAAAUUCUUAGACCGCUCUGGGACGAACUUAUGCGAAGCCAUUUUCCAAGUAUCCCUUCAUCAAUCAAGAACUAAAGUGUGGAGAUCGAAGAUGAUUAGAUACCAUUGUAGUCCACUACUCCAAACGAUGACGCCCAUGGAUUGGAUAGCUUUUUAUUUCAUGGGAUCUCUUCGGCACUGCUCCCCCUUCAACGCGAAAGCUGAGGCUAUGGUCUCAUGGGGGAGUACGUUCGCAAGGCUGAAACUUAA